Molecule: ribosomal RNA, 470 nt
Filed under: uncultured bacterium
Lineage: Bacteria
Description: partial 16S ribosomal RNA
Rfam family: Bacterial small subunit ribosomal RNA
Source: RNAcentral
UGGGGAAUUUUGGACAAUGGGCGAAAGCCUGAUCCAGCAAUGCCGCGUGUGUGAAGAAGGCCUUCGGGUUGUAAAGCACUUUUGUCCGGAAAGAAAUCCUUGGCUCUAAUACAGUCGGGGGAUACGGUACCGGAAGAAUAAGCACCGGCUAACUACGUGCCAGCAGCCGCGGUAAUACGUAGGGUGCAAGCGUUAAUCGGAAUUACUGGGCGUAAAGCGUGCGCAGGCGGUUUGCUAAGACCGAUGUGAAAUCCCCGGGCUCAACCUGGGAACUGCAUUGGUGACUGGCAGGCUAGAGUAUGGCAGAGGGGGGUAGAAUUCCACGUGUAGCAGUGAAAUGCGUAGAGAUGUGGAGGAAUACCGAUGGCGAAGGCAGCCCCCUGGGGCCAAUACUGACGCUCAUGCACGAAAGCGUGGGGAGCAAACAGGAUUAGAUACCCUGGUAGUCCACGCCCUAAACGAUGUCAACU